Molecule: ribosomal RNA, 440 nt
Filed under: uncultured bacterium
Lineage: Bacteria
Description: partial 16S ribosomal RNA
Rfam family: Bacterial small subunit ribosomal RNA
Source: RNAcentral
CCUACGGGUGGCAGCAGUGGGGGAUAUUGCACAAUGGGGGGAACCCUGAUGCAGCGACGCCGCGUGGGUGCAGGAGUGCUUCGGCAUGUAAAGCCCUUUCGGCAGGGAAGAAGCAAGACGGUACCUAACUAAGAAGCCCCGGCUAACUACGUGCCAGCAGCCGCGGUAAGACGUAGGGGGCGAGCGUUAUCCGGAUUCACUGGGUGUACAGGGAGCGUAGACGGCCAUGCCAGCCAGGGGUGAAAGCCCGGGGCCCAACCCCGUGACUGCGCUGGGCACUGCAUGACUGGAUUGCGGGAGGGGCAGGGGAAUUACUGGUGUAGCGGUGAAAUGCGUAGAGAUCAGGAGGAACACCGGCGGCGAAGGCGGCCUGCUGGACCGCGACUGACGUUGAGGCUCGAAAGCGUGGGGAGCGAACAGGAUUAGAUACCCGGGUAGUC